GAUGAACGCUGGCGGCGUGCUUAACACAUGCAAGUCGAACGGUGAAGGCGGAGCUUGCUCUGCUGGAUCAGUGGCGAACGGGUGAGUAACACGUGAGCAAUCUGCCCCUGACUCUGGGAUAAGCGCUGGAAACGGCGUCUAAUACUGGAUACGAGCUGCGAAGGCAUCUUCAGCAGCUGGAAAGAAAUUCGGUCAGGGAUGGGCUCGCGGCCUAUCAGCUUGUUGGUGAGGUAAUGUCUCACCAAGGCGUCGACGCGUAGCCGGCCUGAGAGGGUGACCGGCCACACUGGGACUGAGACACGGCCCAGACUCCAACGGGAGGCAGCGGUGGGGAAGAUUGCACAGUGGGCGAAAGCCUGAUGCAGCAACGCCGCGUGGGGGACGACGGCCUUCGGGUUGUAAACCUCUUUUAGCAGGGAAGAAGCGAAAGUGACGGUACCUGCAGAAAAAGCGCCGGCUAACUACGUG
This 468-nucleotide ribosomal RNA is filed under the name uncultured bacterium. Its description in RNAcentral is "partial 16S ribosomal RNA". It matches the Rfam family "Bacterial small subunit ribosomal RNA", at positions 28 to 507 of the family's 1533-position model. The record is from RNAcentral.